RNAcentral lists this ribosomal RNA (376 nucleotides) under uncultured bacterium. RNAcentral describes it as "bacterial SSU rRNA". It matches the Rfam family "Bacterial small subunit ribosomal RNA", at positions 521 to 896 of the family's 1533-position model. The record is from RNAcentral.
UAAGACGAACCGAGCGAACGUUGUUCGGAAUCACUGGGCUUAAAGGGCGCGUAGGCGGCUCGCCAAGUCAGGGGUGAAAUUUUGCGGCUUAACCGUAACAGUGCCUUUGAUACUGGCGGGCUCGAGGGAGGUAGGGGUCUGUGGAACUUCUGGUGGAGCGGUGAAAUGCGUUGAUAUCAGAAGGAACGCCGGUGGCGAAAGCGACGGACUGGAUCUCUUCUGACGCUGAGGCGCGAAAGCUAGGGGAGCAAACGGGAUUAGAUACCCCGGUAGUCCUAGCCCUAAACGAUGGGUACUAGAUUGUAAGUCUGACAUGGGCCUACAGUCGAAGCAAAAGUGUUAAGUACCCCGCCUGGGGAGUAUGGUCGCAAGGCUG